Molecule: ribosomal RNA, 464 nt
Filed under: Vreelandella stevensii
Lineage: Bacteria; Pseudomonadati; Pseudomonadota; Gammaproteobacteria; Oceanospirillales; Halomonadaceae
Description: partial 16S ribosomal RNA
Rfam family: Bacterial small subunit ribosomal RNA
Source: RNAcentral
CCUACGGGUGGCAGCAGUGGGGAAUAUUGGACAAUGGGCGAAAGCCUGAUCCAGCCAUGCCGCGUGUGUGAAGAAGGCCUUCGGGUUGUAAAGCACUUUCAGUGGGGAAGAAAGCCUUGGGGCUAAUACCCUCGAGGAAGGACAUCACCCACAGAAGAAGCACCGGCUAACUCCGUGCCAGCAGCCGCGGUAAUACGGAGGGUGCGAGCGUUAAUCGGAAUUACUGGCGUAAAGCGCGCGUAGGCGGUCUGAUAAGCCGGUUGUGAAAGCCCCGGGCUCAACCUGGGAACGGCAUCCGGAACUGUCAGGCUAGAGUGCAGGAGAGGAAGGUAGAAUUCCCGGUGUAGCGGUGAAAUGCGUAGAGAUCGGGAGGAAUACCAGUGGCGAAGGCGGCCUUCUGGACUGACACUGACGCUGAGGUGCGAAAGCGUGGGUAGCAAACAGGAUUAGAUACCCGGGUAGUC